GACGAACGCUGGCGGCGUGCUUAACACAUGCAAGUCGAACGGUAAGGCCCUUCGGGGUACACGAGUGGCGAACGGGUGAGUAACACGUGGGUGAUCUGCCCUGCACUUCGGGAUAAGCCUGGGAAACUGGGUCUAAUACCGGAUAGGACCCUGGGAUGCAUGUCCUGGGGUGGAAAGCUUUUGCGGUGUGGGAUGGGCCCGCGGCCUAUCAGCUUGUUGGUGGGGUGAUGGCCUACCAAGGCGACGACGGGUAGCCGGCCUGAGAGGGUGACCGGGCACACUGGGACUUGGAUACGGCCCAGACUCCUACGGGAGGCAGCAGUGGGGAAUAUUGCACAAUGGGCGCAAGCCUGAUGCAGCGACGCCGCGUGAGGGAUGACGGCCUUCGGGUUGUAAACCUCUUUCAGCACCGACGAAGCGCAAGUGACGGUAGGUGCAGAAGAAGGACCGGCCAACUACGUACCAGCAGCCGCCGUAA
RNAcentral lists this ribosomal RNA (478 nucleotides) under uncultured bacterium. RNAcentral's name for it is "partial 16S ribosomal RNA". It matches the Rfam family "Bacterial small subunit ribosomal RNA", at positions 28 to 523 of the family's 1533-position model. The record is from RNAcentral.